RNAcentral lists this transfer RNA (72 nucleotides) under Marmota monax (woodchuck). RNAcentral describes it as "tRNA.Gly". The record is from RNAcentral. Lineage: Eukaryota; Metazoa; Chordata; Mammalia; Rodentia; Sciuridae.
GGGGAUGUACCUCAGUGGUAGAGCUCUUGCCUACCAUGAAAGAGGGCUUGGGUUUAAUCCCCAGUACCUCAA